This 261-nucleotide long non-coding RNA is filed under the name Mytilus galloprovincialis (Mediterranean mussel). Lineage: Eukaryota; Metazoa; Mollusca; Bivalvia; Mytilida; Mytilidae. The record is from RNAcentral.
GGGCAAGUAUGUACACAACAUACAAGCUUAAUACAGCUCUGAAUUUGGAUUGUGAUUAAAUAGUUGACACAGCAAAGGUUUCUGACACAGAAUGAAUGUGGUCUAAGGAACUUACUGUUUUUGGCUUUUGAGCAAUACACUAUGCUGUUGAAUAUAAAUCCCCUCAAAAAAACAAUUUGAAGAAAAAUUCUUUUUAAUUUCUGAAAUCUGAAAUGAGAAAAAUGUUACCCCUCACUCCUUCCCAUUUUUUUUCACAUCCCC